AAUAUUGGACAAUGGGCGAAAGCCUGAUCCAGCCAUGCCGCGUGAGUGAUGAAGGCCCUAGGGUUGUAAAGCUCUUUCAACGGUGAAGAUAAUGACGGUAACCGUAGAAGAAGCCCCGGCUAACUUCGUGCCAGCAGCCGCGGUAAUACGAAGGGGGCUAGCGUUGUUCGGAAUUACUGGGCGUAAAGCGCACGUAGGCGGAUACUUAAGUUAGGGGUGAAAUCCCAGGGCUCAACCCUGGAACUGCCUAUAAUACUGGGUAUCUUGAGUUCGAGAGAGGUGAGUGGAAUUCCGAGUGUAGAGGUGAAAUUCGUAGAUAUUCGGAGGAACACCAGUGGCGAAGGCGGCUCACUGGCUCGAUACUGACGCUGAGGUGCGAAAGCGUGGGGAGCAAACAGG
RNAcentral lists this ribosomal RNA (399 nucleotides) under uncultured bacterium. RNAcentral describes it as "partial 16S ribosomal RNA". It matches the Rfam family "Bacterial small subunit ribosomal RNA", at positions 360 to 776 of the family's 1533-position model. The record is from RNAcentral.